UACGGAGGGAGCGAGCGUUGUUCGGAAUUACUGGGCGUAAAGCGUAUGUAGGCGGCUUCGUAAGACAGGUGUGAAAUCCCAGGGCUUAACCCUGGAACUGCAUUUGUGACUGCGAGGCUUGAGUAUCGGGAGAGGUUGGCGAAUUCCCAGUGUAGCAGUGAAAUGCGCAGAUAUUGGGAGGAACGACCGAUGGCGCUAAGCAGCCAA
This 207-nucleotide ribosomal RNA is filed under the name uncultured bacterium. RNAcentral describes it as "partial 16S ribosomal RNA". It matches the Rfam family "Bacterial small subunit ribosomal RNA", at positions 524 to 728 of the family's 1533-position model. The record is from RNAcentral.